This 641-nucleotide long non-coding RNA is filed under the name Salmo salar (Atlantic salmon). RNAcentral describes it as "lncRNA (ENSSSAG00000084035.1)". The record is from RNAcentral. Lineage: Eukaryota; Metazoa; Chordata; Actinopteri; Salmoniformes; Salmonidae.
AGUCUGUUCUUUGUGUUGACCUCACUACACCCACACAACUAUUUUAUAGGACCUUUAAGCACUGGAUACACUUUACUAUCAAUACCUAGUUCUACAUUUUGGCUAUAAAGUUUUGGAAUGCCAGUCCAACUGUCAGAAUGCUGUUGAGAAUAUCCUUUUUUUUUGCAUGCUAGACGGUGAUGGCCUCCACAAGGCAGUGGACGUGGUGUGUGAUGAUUACGGUAUUUGCAGGGCCCCCUUCUCAGGUAUCCUGGGGGGUCCAGUGGUCGGUAUCCUGUGUGAUGGCAUUAAACUCUAACUCUGCUCAGCAUUCAACGACACUAUCCCCUCCAAGCUCGUCACCAAGCUUAGGACUCUGGGUCUGAACACCUCCCUCUGCAACUGGAUCCUGGAAUUUCUGACAGGCCUUCCCCAAGUGGUGAGGGUAGGCAACAUCACCUCCACCACACUGACCCUUAACACAGGGGCCCCACAGGGGUGUGUGCUUAGUCCCCUCCUGUACUCCCUGUUCACCCAUACUGUGUGGCCACCCACGACUCCAACAUCACUAUCAAGUUCGCUGACAACAUGACGGUGGUAGGCCUGAUCACUGGCGACAAUGAGUCAGCCUACAGGGAGGAGGUCAGUGACCUGACAGUGUG